GAACGCAAACAAACAGAUAUCAAAUUGCCGUUUUGCAAAAACCGCAAGUUGUGUACCUCGGAGCAAGAAGGCACGGGUCCCUCUUAUGUUGAGACACUUAAAAUGAUGGAAUAGGUCUCCUUGUAGUAUUAGUCACUGCCGGCUUAAAGUUCGGAUCGAGAAGUGACAGGAAUGCAUUGUAUUUUACAACUAAUCAGGCCGCCACUGAACCCUCCUAAGUCGACUCUCAAGUUUGACACAAGCCAUAGAGGUUUCAUGGGCUGUAUUAUAUCAUCCAGGUUUAAUAGAAGGGAAAAUCAAUUCAAUUUCGGGAGGGGUGUCGAAGUUUUUGUGUGGUAGAUAUUGUGGAUAAAAAAUCCUGGAUGUUUUCAGCUGUACCUCUGUCCUGCUUUUUUUUUUUAAUUUUUCACUAUAUUUAGUCCUGCCUUUUUUAUAAGUUUAUCCUGUUUUUGUGGGCCCAGCUUCUCAUCCUGCAUUUUUUUUUAAUCAAAACUAAAAUUAAAUGGUAGCUCUCUUAUAUCGAAAAAAGUCGCAAUAUCUUUGUUUUAAAAAGAAAAUAUUCAGAUGAUCAAAUAUAUAAGAUAAAAGUCCAAAUAUAUAAAUAUAUAAGAUAAGUCCAAAUAUAUUUAGUAUGAGAAUGGUCAUAAUAUAGUCACAAAUAUAAAGGGAAAAUGUAAGCAUAUGUAUGCAAUGC
Molecule: long non-coding RNA, 694 nt
Filed under: Mytilus galloprovincialis (Mediterranean mussel)
Lineage: Eukaryota; Metazoa; Mollusca; Bivalvia; Mytilida; Mytilidae
Source: RNAcentral